UCCAGACUCCUACGGGAGGCAGCAGUGAGGAAUAUUGGUCAAUGGCCGAGAGGCUGAACCAGCCAAGUCGCGUGAGGGAAGACGGCCCUACGGGUUGUAAACCUCUUUUGUCGAGGAGCAAAGUGAACCACGUGUGGUUCAUUGAGAGUACCCGAAGAAAAAGCAUCGGCUAACUCCGUGCCAGCAGCCGCGGUAAUACGGAGGAUGCGAGCGUUAUCCGGAUUUAUUGGGUUUAAAGGGUGCGUAGGCGGACUGGAAAGUCAGCGGUAAAAUCGAGAGGCUCAACCUCUUUCCGCCGUUGAAACUGUCGGUCUUGAGUGGGCGAGAAGUAUGCGGAAUGCGUGGUGUAGCGGUGAAAUGCAUAGAUAUCACGCAGAACUCCGAUUGCGAAGGCAGCAUACCGGCGCCCGACUGACGCUGAGGCACGAAAGCGUGGGUAUCGAACAGGAUUAGAUACCCGGGUA
This 464-nucleotide ribosomal RNA is filed under the name uncultured bacterium. RNAcentral's name for it is "bacterial SSU rRNA". It matches the Rfam family "Bacterial small subunit ribosomal RNA", at positions 330 to 792 of the family's 1533-position model. The record is from RNAcentral.